CGGAGGCGUACAGGUACCCGUAAGUCUUAACCUGUACCCGUGGGGCGGGGCUUGGUCUGUGGGAUCUGUGGCGAGCGGGUGAGUAACACGUGAGCAACCUGCCCCUGACUCUGGGAUAAGCGCUGGAAACGGCGUCUAAUACUGGAUAUGUGACGUGACCGCAUGGUCUGCGUUUGGAAAGAUUUUUCGGUUGGGGAUGGGCUCGCGGCCUAUCAGCUUGUUGGUGAGGUAAUGGCUCACCAAGGCGUCGACGGGUAGCCGGCCUGAGAGGGUGACCGGCCACACUGGGACUGAGACACGGCCCAGACUCCUACGGGAGGCAGCAGUGGGGAAUAUUGCACAAUGGGCGGAAGCCUGAUGCAGCAACGCCGCGUGAGGGAUGACGGCCUUCGGGUUGUAAACCUCUUUUAGCAGGGAAGAAGCGAAAGUGACGGUACCUGCAGAAAAAGCGCCGGCUAACUACGUGCCAGCAGCCGCGGUAAUACGUAGGGCGCAAGCGUUAUCCGGAAUUAUUGGGCGUAAAGAGCUCGUAGGCGGUUUGUCGCGUCUGCUGUGAAAUCCCGAGGCUCAACCUCGGGCCUGCAGUGGGUACGGGCAGACUAGAGUGCGGUAGGGGAGAUUGGAAUUCCUGGUGUAGCGGUGGAAUGCGCAGAUAUCA
Molecule: ribosomal RNA, 658 nt
Filed under: Microbacterium sp. HPC 912
Lineage: Bacteria; Bacillati; Actinomycetota; Actinomycetes; Micrococcales; Microbacteriaceae
Description: bacterial SSU rRNA
Rfam family: Bacterial small subunit ribosomal RNA
Source: RNAcentral